AACGAACGCUGGCGGCGUGCCUAACACAUGCAAGUCGUGCGAGAAAGUUCCUUCGGGAGCGAGUAAAGCGGCGCACGGGUGAGUAACACGUAGGUAACCUGCCCCCCAGUCUGGAACAACUAGAGGAAACUCUAGCUAAUGCCGGAUGAGACCACGAUCCCUUCGGGGGUUGCGGCCAAAGAUGGCCUCUACUUGUAAGCUAUCGCUGAGGGAUGGGCCUGCGGGCCAUUAGCUUGUUGGUGAGGUAACGGCUCACCAAGGCUGUGAUGGCUAGCUGGUCUGAGAGGAUGACCAGUCACACUGGGACUGAGACACGGCCCAGACUCCUACGGGAGGCAGCAGUGGGGAAUAUUGCGCAAUGGGCGAAAGCCUGACGCAGCGACGCCGCGUGGGU
This 394-nucleotide ribosomal RNA is filed under the name uncultured bacterium. RNAcentral describes it as "bacterial SSU rRNA". It matches the Rfam family "Bacterial small subunit ribosomal RNA", at positions 29 to 406 of the family's 1533-position model. The record is from RNAcentral.